GGUCUCUGCUAGUUGUGCCGUUAGCCUUUCAGUCUAGGGAAGAUUCUGUGGCCCGUGCACAGCAAAGCUAUGCAGAGUUCUUUGCCCAGAGUCUCUGUUGAAUGAACAGGUUGAUUCCACAAGCUGCCUGCAGAAAUUUGGUCUUGUUACCUCAUAGUGAGUGAGUCAUUAGUCUCCAAUAAAAGUUCUUCAUGACCUCAACAGAUGGAAAUCUGGUUUAAAAUUGUAGUUAUGUGCCCUGUCUUAAAUGUUAGUGAAUUUCGUGGAGAAGGCUUCCUGCCAAUGACUAAUAAGAAAUGUCGGGAAAAUGUAACAUUUUCAUUCUGGCAUUGAAGUAUUAAAACUUAAUAUCUCAACAACAUGCUUUUGAGCAUUUGGCAUAGAUGACAGCACUGUUGAAAUGAAAUAGUGUGAUUAAAUACCAGUCAUUUUUAUUGCUUUCUGUCACUGCAAAUGGAAGAAUUCAGAUCAUCUGUGGCCCAAUUACUACGUAUAAUACAAAUCCUUUUUCUUUCCCCACCGUGUUAACCCUGAUCAGGAUUUUAUUGAUAUUCAUAGAGGAUAUGGAGCAUAACUAAGAAAGGUGCUGUUUAGGCAAAGGAAAUUCAAAUUAUGGUGUGUUGCUCUUUGGGGUCAUGUGUUGAAAUGUGUGUGCAAAGGCAGCCUAGGAAGAAAAAAUAAAUGGAGAUGAUUUUUGUUUCUAGGUAGCAGCACCGCCUGCAUUGUGGUGCUGGACAGAACCAGCCACCGCUUACACACAGCAAACCUGGGCGAUUCAGGCUUCCUGGUUGUCAGGGGUGGUGAAGUCGUGCACCGAUCAGAUGAGCAGCAGCAUUACUUCAACACUCCAUUCCAGCUCUCAAUCGCUCCCCCUGAAGCCGAGGGAGUCGUCUUGAGCGACAGUCCGGAUGCUGCUGAUAGCACGUCUUUCGAUGUCCAGUUAGGAGACAUUAUCCUGACGGCAACAGAUGGACUCUUUGACAACAUGCCUGAUUAUAUGAUCCUUCAGGAGCUAAAAAAGUUAAAGAAUUCAAAUUAUGAGAGUAUACAACAGACUGCCAGAAGCAUUGCUGAGCAAGCUCAUGAGCUGGCCUAUGACCCAAAUUAUAUGUCACCUUUUGCACAGUUUGCAUGUGACAAUGGAUUGAAUGUGAGAGGUGGAAAGCCAGAUGACAUCACCGUCCUUCUUUCAAUAGUGGCUGAGUAUACAGACUAGCCGAGGUGUCAAGUCCUGCCUUUCCUUUCAUCAUCCCAAAUUUCCCCUGCCAUGUGUGCUGAUCCUGCUGGCAGGACCACAUUUCUUUGCCACUGAUCUCAAUGGCCAGUGACGUAAGUCUUUUGCCUGUCUUCUUGAGACCCGUUGAGAUCUUUGUUGAGAACCACUACUAUCAUUCACUAGCUCAUAUCUGCCGGCAGCAAUUGAAGAGAUCCAAGAUUUGAAGAUUGGCCUUCAUUUCUCGAUGUUCUUUCCAUGAUGGGGAUGG
Molecule: small RNA, 1484 nt
Filed under: Pongo abelii (Sumatran orangutan)
Lineage: Eukaryota; Metazoa; Chordata; Mammalia; Primates; Hominidae
Description: retained intron
Source: RNAcentral